Molecule: unclassified non-coding RNA, 392 nt
Filed under: soil metagenome
Description: partial contains 5.8S ribosomal RNA, internal transcribed spacer 2, and large subunit ribosomal RNA
Rfam family: 5.8S ribosomal RNA (bases 1-122)
Source: RNAcentral
GAUGAAGAACGUAGCAAAAUGCGAUACUUGGUGUGAAUUGCAGAAUCCCGUGAACCAUCGAGUCUUUGAACGCAAGUUGCGCCCGAAGCCAUUAGGCCUAGGGCACGCCUGCCUGGGCGUCACACGUCGUUGCCCCCCCCAUCUACUCCUUCGGGAUUGCGGGGGGCGGAUGAUGGCCUCCCGUGCGCCUCGCCGCGCGGUUGGCAUAAAUGCCAAGUCCUCGGCGAUGCACGCCACGACAAUCGGUGGUUGCGAAACCUCGGUUGCCCGUCGUGUGCGGUCGUCGCGCAUCGAGGGCUCGAAAAAAUUGCCGGGUUCCGGCUCGGCUUUCAACGCGACCCCAGGUCAGGCGGGGUUACCCGCUGAAUUUAAGCAUAUCAAUAAGCGGAGGA